This 77-nucleotide transfer RNA is filed under the name Alphaproteobacteria bacterium. RNAcentral describes it as "tRNA-Pro". It matches the Rfam family "tRNA". From Rfam's summary of the family: Transfer RNA (tRNA) molecules are approximately 80 nucleotides in length. Their secondary structure includes four short double-helical elements and three loops (D, anti-codon, and T loops). Lineage: Bacteria; Pseudomonadati; Pseudomonadota; Alphaproteobacteria. The record is from RNAcentral. RNAcentral also lists the same sequence under 2 other names.
CGGAGCGUAGCGUAGCCUGGUAGCGCGCUCGCCUGGGGGGCGAGAGGUCGUGGGUUCGAAUCCCGCCGCUCCGACCA